This 6249-nucleotide long non-coding RNA is filed under the name Equus caballus (horse). Its description in RNAcentral is "lncRNA (ENSECAG00000052341.1)". Lineage: Eukaryota; Metazoa; Chordata; Mammalia; Perissodactyla; Equidae. The record is from RNAcentral.
CCGGCUUGUGUUUAGAAGGGCCCUGUACUGCCUUUAGCUAAGGAUGUUACUAUCUUAUUUAUAUUACCUUCUGUGUAGUUAUUUCAUUUAGGCUUUCUCUGAGGAAGGAAUGGCCAAAUUGUCUGAAAGGAACAUUCUGUUUCCUGAAUAGGAAUUUCGCGGCCACAGCUUAUCUCAGCAAGAAUCAUAUAUUUGUGACGACAUGAGCCAGAUUCCCAUACUAUGUAAUUUUACUGGAAUUCUCCUGCAGUAACUUAAUGCUGACCUUAUGAUUCUUUCUAUGAUGAUAUCCUACAGUCUCCUCUUUGAGCUUGGAUGCUGGCAAGAGAAGCUCAAGUUGGCUGAACAAUACAGGAUGAAAGUUUGUAAGUGGGGAAGGCCCCGCACAGAUUUGGAAAAACUCAGAAUGUGUUUUCAGAAGGGGAUGGCGAAAGUUCCCAAAUUAUUCAAAUUGAGUUCACUUAGAUCAUUGGGACUGUAUUUAUUGAUAUUGAGAGUGCUAAUCAAUAGGAGUUUGGAACCCUAUUUCAGGGGGCUCACAUUGGUGGUCCGCAUACACUAGAGUAAGAACCUCUGAUCUGUCAGAUGCUCCAUUUACAGAUAAAGAAACUGAUGGGAAUCGACUUGUUCAAAGUCAUGUGGUCAAUAAGCAUCAGAGGCAGAAUUAGAAUCUAAUUCUUAUAAUUCCUAGGUCCUUUCUACCAAGCCCUGUCCCAGGAAGCCAGCAUCCUGUCCCCUCUCCAUGGCUCCAUUCCCACUAACGGCUCUAGGGCACACUGGAACAGACAGAAACCGUUGGCAUCUAGUGCACGUCUUCUUCAGGAGCCCAUCCCCUUGGUUCCAAUCAGGAUUAGGUUCCUCUUGGCUGGAGGAAGCUAAGCCUGUCAUGAUUCCUCCUUUUUCAUUAGUCAUCUCCUUGACCUCUCUCCCUUUCCCAGGACCCUGGUCCUCAGGGUCAUCAACAUUGAUUUGUGCGAGAGGCCGAGUCCAGCUGACUUCAGUGCUGGUCAAAAGCCCAGGAUGGGUCCAUGCAGAGGCAAAAGGAAACUUGGCUGGAGGAGGCAUGGGGAUUUGAACACAGUGUGAACCGGGAAGGCUGCUUCAGCCCAACCAAACACCAGCAAACUGCACCCAGCACAGCAGAGCAGCUACACCCAGGUCAAGUGAUGGGAGUGGCAGGACUCUCCCACUGCAUCUCUCCUGACUGAGCUGCCCAACAGCAUCUCCAGAGACUGGGGCUUAGAUACGCGGAUAUGAUGCUCUGGCACCUUGAGUGGUAUUGUGCACUGGCUGGAGUAUGGAGACCAGAAAGACCAGUUCUCGGGGUGGAAUAAGUGAUGUGAAGUAUGGCAUCUGGGUCCCUGCCCAGCCCAUGGGCCCAGAGAGGAAGGCCCAGGCCACAGAAAGGCUAUCCUGCAGCCCUAGGUGAGGGGAGACUUGGCUUCUCUCAUCCUUGGGAUGAGAUUUUUUUUUUUUAAGGAAGAUUAGCCCUGAGCUAACAUCUGCUGCCAAUCCUCCUCUUUUUGCUGAGGAAGCCUGGCCCUGAGCUAACAUCCGUGCCCAUCUUCCUCUACUUUAUACGUGGGACACCUACCAUAGCAUGGCUUGUCAAGUGGUGCCACAUCUGCACCUGGAUCCGAACCUGCGAACCCCGGGCCACCGAAGCUGAACGUGCGAACUUAACCGCUGCGCCACAGGGCUGGCCCUGGGGUGAGAUUUCUUAUACCCAACCAGCGGUUCCAGGCACCGAAACUUACUUAGGUAAUAGGGCUUUGGUUUUUUAAAGAAGAGAUGACCCCAACUUAAAAAAAAACAGCUUUAGUUUUAGUUUUGUUUAAAAAAUAAAGUCUAAAAAAUAAGUCUAAAAAGCCACCCAGGCUCAGACCCAACUGGUAUUUUUUUAGAAAUUUUGACUGCUGAAGUUUUGUGUUUCAGAUUUUCUUGGUUACAAUCUAAAUGUUUGAAUAAUAAUGGUGAUGAAAAGAUCUUUCAUGCUGAUCGUGCUUGGUAUAUGAUAAUCUUCACAAAAAUCAAGGAAAAAGCUCAUAAUCCUCACAAAAAUGUAAUUUUAACUGAUGAAGACACUCCAAGUUGGAGAAGGUGAGUGAUUCUCCCUGUGAGAAAGCGGCGGAACUGGGCUUGCAACUGAAGCCUGCUGUUGAGACAGCUCUUUUCAGGACUCUGAAAGUGGCCCCCCGCCAGCCGUGCACUAUUUGCCUCGAACCCUUUUUAGGAGGCGGAAGGGUACAAAUACACUAAUACAGCAUUAGUAUAUGGGUUCAAAAUUGUUAGAAUUGCAUCAGACCCCGCAGCCUCGACAUAUUUUUGUUUCGUUUAUCUCAUUUGUUCUUUCCCACUAAGUCACUGUGUCCCUAUAUUAUAGGAAAAGGAAGUUCCUUUUUAUAGGAAGCUCGGAUGGUGACUUGCCCGAGGCCACACUAAUAGCAAGAGGCAGAGAGUAGACUCCGAUCUCACCCCCAGCUUGGGUUCCACAUCUCUCUCCGUUGUGUCAGGUUGUCCUUCCCUGUAACAACAAUUAUGGAGCAAAUUGUAGAAAUUGGCCACCAAGGGACCCCACUCCCUAGGUCCACACGCUUUGCAACAUGACUUGCUGCUUUCCAUCAAGACGUGGAGCCUCUCUCCCCAUCCACUGAGUGCAGCUGGCCUUGGGACUCGCUUGGACCAGUAGAAUGUGAAGGAAGUGCUGUUCUGAGGUUUCCAAGCUCAGACUGUAAAGCGGCUUUCCGGCUUCCACUUUUCUUCUCGGAACCCAGCUGUCACGUAAAGAAGUCCAGGUUAUCCCGCUGGAGACAGAGGCCACAUGGAAGAGAAAUAGGCACCCCAGCUAACAGCCAACACCAAGGCCCCAGUCGCGAACCAAUUGGGAGACUGAGCUCAAGGAGUCGCUACCACCUGGGCUCGUUUAGCUGGAUGGGGCAUGGCUGCUGCACACAGAACAAAAGUGAAGGACAAUACCUGUUCCUGAGGAUGCGAUGCUUACCCAAGAAGAUGUUGAACAUGAGGGAUGCUUUGUGACCAAGAAAUUACAGUCUUCUGAGAGGACUCUGGCAGAGAGCCCUGUAUGGAGGAGGAGGUGCUCCUUGGGAGACCCCUUUGAAGAGUAAGAAGGGAGUGGGGGGUUUGAGGAGGGCUGAGCAGGUGAGAGCCGGCCAGAGGAGACUUGCUGAGCUGGUACACAUCAUGGGAGGAAGACGAGGAAAACCAGGCUGCGAUAAGGUGAGCCUCUGAAAGCCAUUUGUCAGGCUUUUCCCCAAGGAGGGACUGUGCCCUGAGAGGUGGACUAAUGGGGGUACUUUAGGUUUAAUGGAGGACCUUUCAAGGACCUCUUGAUGUGCUGCGUCUCUCCAUCUCAUCAGCGAUUCUUCUGUGCCCAAGACACCCUGAGAGACACUGGAGUUAUGAAAAGGUAUGCACUAUCUCCACCUUCAUAGAGCCGACGAUACCUCUGAGGGGACCAGACCUUCACAAAGACAUGCACAAUCUUAUUUGUUUAGCGAUGGAACUUUGUGGAAACAUGGCUAACGCAGCACAGUGUAUGCUAUGUAGAGGAUGAAUCAGACCGCCAAAACCAUAGUCUGAUUCACUACUUGACAAUCUUUUUCUCGAACAAUGAGCUAUUUUUCAAAUGUAAAUGAAUUUAAAAUUUCUCUGAAAUGACCAAAGACCCCUUUUUGUUUUCAAAAGGGAAAUGUACAGUAUACCCAGGGAGCUGGCUUCCCAGUUUCUUUUCUCUCUGCUCAUAAAGGCAACAGUGGAAUAAGGCUUCAGAGGGGCUCUGUGCUCCGGAUGCCACAUGAUAUGGGCAGCAGGUUCCACACUGACCUCUUGGGCAGACGAAGUGGAGCUGGCUGAACAUUUCUCGCUGUGCCUGAACUGUUCUCUCUGUGCUUUUCCCCUCAAACUUUCCCUUUGGUACCAGAGCCCUUUAGGGAUGACUCAUGCAUUUACUUAUUUAUUUAUUCAGCACAUACUUUGACCCCCAUCUAUGUGUCAAGCACAGUAUAAGCCACUGGGUAUCUCAUGAUAUAUAGGCUCAAAUAGUCCCUGCACGCAAGGAUCUUAAAAUCUAGUGAGAGAGACAACGUUAUUAGUGUAACAAUAAUUAUACACAUUAUUUUGCUGUGUAAUAUUGCUGCCUAAACAUUACAGUUAGAUUAACUAUAAGAUAAUUUAUAAAAUCCCAACAACUAAUGAACAUGGGUGGUCAUUUUCCCAAAGCCACGCACACGUCAUAAUUUAAUUAUACUGAUGAAAACGACACUGGCAAAGAACAGGGUGAUGAGAGAAUAUAGUGGCCGCCUAUCCUAGCCCGUACGGUCUGAAGAAAGCUUUCCUGAGAAAGUGACUUUUAGAAUAAAACUUAAAGAAUGAAUAAAAGUUGGCCAGGGGAAGGGGAAGUAAAGAUGAAGAACAGAAUGUGGCCCAGGCAGAGGGAACAGGACAAACAAAGGCCCUGGGGCCUUUGAAACUAGUCCCAGUGGAUUUGUGAACUCUUUCAGAGAUGCUCCACGCUGGUCCCCUUAUACUUUUCAAAGAAAGAAAGUUCAAGAUGCUUCCAACUUCCCACGUUUAUAUGCUAUCAGCUUAUUCCCAGCUCCCCCUGCUUUCCCCAUCUCCCCUACUCUCAGCUCUCUGGCCAUGACACUCAGUCAUAGCCCGCAUGGCGUAGUGGCGUCCUCUGACCCUGGGCAGCAGAGCGUUGGUAGAAGUCCUAUGUGUCUAGACAAAAGAUUGGUUAGUUUUUUCGAAAGCGAGUGUUCCAGGUCUGACUCAACCUGACUGAGAGCCAAGAAAGAGAUGAUAAGGCUGAUGGAAAAGAUCUCCUUAAUGAACGGCAAUAAAAAACAGCCCAAAGGUGAAGGCACGCAAUGGCCUUGGCGUUUCCUGCGGCUGCGGCCCCAGACAGGCUCUUGAAAGCGCUCAAGGAUAAGAGGUAGGAAGGCCAUUUUAUUUCCCCUCUGCUACUUGUAUUUUAACACUUUCCUGCCUCUCACGCUAAUCUCCAUUCCCCACACCUCAUGCUCCAAACAGUCGCCCUUUAGUUUUAGGGGGUAAAUAUUAUCCCUCUUGAGUGGGAUAAGAUGUCUAGGUCACACAGCCCACAGGAAUGGAGACUAUUCAGUCAACUUUCCUGGUGGUCCCUGUUUUAACCCUUUCAACCUCAAUGCAUUCAUUUAUAAAAUGGUUGGAAAGACGAGCCUAUGAUGUCACCACGAGGACUGAGAGUUUAAACAACGGGUUAUAAAUGAUAUGGAAUGUUGGCUAUUAAAGAGGAAAAUUCUGCUAUGAUUUCCUAAGCAUCCCAGGUGGCCAUUCCCCAAGGUGGAGGAGUUGUCACCUUAUGGGCACUUAAGGAACCUCACUUCAGGGGACCACCAAUGUAAUGGUAAUCAGGCAGGGUUUUUUUGUCUUCCCAGAAAUAAGAAAUAUAAACAAGGUUUAAAUUAGUAGCCAACAGACAUACUUUGCUCUCAAUUUUAAUCAGAAAAAUUUAAAAAACAAAGACACGUCUAACCUUUUAAAAACACUCUGUAAUUAUGAAGCCCUUCCAAUAUAGUGAGUGAAAAAUAGAUCUCAUUUAGGUCUCCUUUCUCUCUCCAAUGAUCCUUGUGAGGUGAGUAAGACAGUUCCUUCUAUUACGGACAGGAAUUUGAGGCUCAAAGAAAUUAAACCUCUGGCUCAAGACCGUACACCGAGCAGGUGGCAAACAGAGGUUUUGACCCAAUGGCUUUGAUUUCAGGUCCAGUGAUAUCUCUUCUUUAUUUACUGCCUCUGGACCCCAGAAUCCGUGCUCCUGCAGUAAGAAACAGCUCAAUCAAUGGAGGCGUCUGCUAUGAUUCCCCAUGGCAUCCUGAUACGCUUUGGAAGACAGCAGUGAAAGCAAGAUUUUUUUCCACUUAGUAUCCAGGAGGGCAACUCAGAUCCUUAAAGGAGCUCCUGAUUUUCACCCACGGGCUGGGAAUUCGAUGCACGCCCCGAAGAUUCUAAAAGGGAUUAGACCAGAACUUGGGCUCAAGUUCUUGUCUAGGGCAGGUGGAGGUGAGGACAAAGAGAAAGUGGCUGUCUGCAAACCAAGAAGGCCCCCACAAAGAACCUGACCAUGAUGGCACCCUGAUCUCGGACUUCAGUGUCUAGGAUGGAAGAUUAGCCCUGAGCUAACUACUGCCAAUCCUCCUCUUUUUGCUGAGGAAGACUGGACCUGAGCUAACAUCCGCGCCCAUCUUCCUC